Molecule: ribosomal RNA, 783 nt
Filed under: uncultured Flavobacteriales bacterium
Lineage: Bacteria; Pseudomonadati; Bacteroidota; Flavobacteriia; Flavobacteriales
Description: bacterial SSU rRNA
Rfam family: Bacterial small subunit ribosomal RNA
Source: RNAcentral
GCUAGCGGCGGCCUAACACAUGCAAGUCGAGGGGCAGCACAGAAAUAGCUUGCUAUUUGGGUGGCGCACCGUGCGCACGGGUUGCGUAACGCGUAUGCAACCUACCUUAUACUGGGGUAUAGCCCGGAGAAAUUCGGAUUAAUCCCCCAUGGUAUUAUUGGAUCGCAUGGUUUGAUAAUUAAAGAUUACGGUAUAAGAUGGGCAUGCGUCCUAUUAGCUAGAUGGUAAGGUAACGGCUUACCAUGGCUACGACAGGUAGGGGGCCUGAGAGGGUGGUCCCCCACACUGGUACUGAGACACGGANCCAACNNNNUACGGGAGGCAGCAGUGAGGAAUAUUGGUCAAUGGGCGCAAGCCUGAACCAGCCAUGCCGCGUGCAGGAAGAAUGCCCUAUGGGUUGUAAACUGCUUUUAUUUAGGAAUAAACUCUUGUACGUGUACAAGCCUGAAGGUACUAAAUGAAUAAGCACCGGCUAACUCCGUGCCAGCAGCCGCGGUAAUACGGAGGGUGCAAGCGUUAUCCGGAAUCAUUGGGUUUAAAGGGUCCGCAGGCGGAUUUAUAAGUCAGUGGUGAAAUCCUAUCGCUUAACGAUAGAACUGCCAUUGAUACUGUUAAGUCUUGAAUUCGGUCGAAGUGGGCGGAAUGUGUAGUGUAGCGGUGAANUGCAUAGAUAUUACACAGAACACCGAUAGCGAAGGCAGCUCACUUAGGNCCUGGGAUUGGACGCUCAGGGACGAAAGCGUGGGGAUCNAACAGGAUUAGAUACCCUGGUAGUCCACGCUG